This 51-nucleotide transfer RNA is filed under the name Physa fontinalis. RNAcentral describes it as "tRNA-Tyr". The record is from RNAcentral. Lineage: Eukaryota; Metazoa; Mollusca; Gastropoda; Physidae.
GAUGGCAGAAUAUUGCAUAUCACUGUAAAUGGUAAAAUGAAUUUUAUUCUC